GAUCAUGGCUCAGGGUGAACGCUGGCGGCGUGCCUAACACAUGCAAGUCGAGCGAAGCGGUUUUGAGGAAGUUUUCGGAUGGAAUUAAAACUGACUGAGCGGCGGACGGGUGAGUAACGCGUGGGUAACCUGCCUCAUACAGGGGGAUAACAGUUAGAAAUGGCUGCUAAUACCGCAUAAGCACACAGCUUCGCAUGGAGCAGUGUGAAAAACUCUGGUGGUAUGAGAUGGACCCGCG
Molecule: ribosomal RNA, 238 nt
Filed under: uncultured bacterium
Lineage: Bacteria
Description: partial 16S ribosomal RNA
Rfam family: Bacterial small subunit ribosomal RNA
Source: RNAcentral